Molecule: long non-coding RNA, 264 nt
Filed under: Carica papaya (papaya)
Lineage: Eukaryota; Viridiplantae; Streptophyta; Magnoliopsida; Brassicales; Caricaceae
Description: long non-coding RNA (CPAP_LNC010569)
Source: RNAcentral
GAAAUGUGAUUGCAGCAGCUGUCCCAUCGCGUCCUCCUGUAGUGACUGUUCCAAGUGCCGCACAGCCUGGUUUAGGUGUUUCUGCUUCACAGCCAUCUCCUGUUGUUUCUGCUUCACAGCCAUCUCCUGUUGUUUCUGCUUCACAGCCAUCACCUGUUGUUUCUGCUUCACAGCCAUCUCGCUCUGCUUACCAAUCGUCUCUUGCUGCUGAGAUUAAUUCACGAAUCAGGGAUCACAUUCGUAACAUGCAAGGAGAAAGCCAGG